RNAcentral lists this ribosomal RNA (435 nucleotides) under Triticum aestivum (bread wheat). RNAcentral's name for it is "partial small subunit ribosomal RNA". Lineage: Eukaryota; Viridiplantae; Streptophyta; Magnoliopsida; Poales; Poaceae. The record is from RNAcentral.
AUGUAUGUGAGGAAUCUUGCGCGGAGCCUCCACAAGUGCAAAACCCCUUUGCUUCUCUUCAAGUUGGACAUUCGGAAGGCAUUUGAUUCAGUCAAGUGGGAGUAUAUCAUUGACCUCCUCUGCCGUAGGGGGUUCCCGAGCAUUUUUCGAGAUUGGAUCACCACCCUACUUUGCUCCUCAUCCUCGCGGAUUCUUCUUAACGGCGUCGCUGGCAGCCCCAUCAACCAUGGCCAGGGGCUCCAGCAGGGGGACCCUAUAUCCCCCUUGCUAUUUGUGAUCGCGAUCGACCCACUCCAAAGAAUUCCAGAGAUGGCGGCAACUAGAGGGCUAUUUCAUAAAAUCCGUGGCCGUGGGGUUCUUUUACGAACCUCCCUUUAUGCGGACGACGCGGCGGUCUUCAUGGCACCCAUCAAGCGCGAUAUUGACCACUGUUGA